This 485-nucleotide ribosomal RNA is filed under the name uncultured bacterium. RNAcentral's name for it is "partial 16S ribosomal RNA". It matches the Rfam family "Bacterial small subunit ribosomal RNA", at positions 28 to 507 of the family's 1533-position model. The record is from RNAcentral.
AUUGAACGCUGGCGGCAUGCCUUACACAUGCAAGUCGAACGGCAGCGGGCUCUUCGGGUUGCCUUCGAGUGGCCAACGGGUGAGUAAUGCAUCGGAACGUCCCCGGCUGCGGUGUCUUACCGGCCGACAUGCUGGCUAAUACCCCAUUACCUCAUACGACCAAAGCGUGGGACCUUCGGGCCUUCCGCCCUCGCACCAUCCGAUGUCCGGUUAGGCUAGUUGGUGGGGUAAAGGCCCACCAAGGCGACGAUCGGUAGCCGGUCUGAGAGGAUGAUGCGCCACACUGGAACUGAGACACGGCCCAGACUCCUACGGGAGGCAGCAGUGGGGAAUAUUGGACAAUGGGCGCAAGCCUGAUCCAGCAAUGCCGCGUGGGUGAAGAAGGCCUUCGGGUUGUAAAGCCCUUUUGGCGGGGAAGAAAAGGGGCAGGCGAAUAGUCUGGCGGGAUGACGGUACCCGAAGAAGAAGCACCGGCUAACUACGUG